CACACCACAACCUGCAGCCCGGGACGCCGAGCUCAGACCGAGUACUGAAGACGGUCGACGGGCUGACCAUACGCUCCCCUGGGAAUCAGCAGGGCGUCUCACAUCUCCUGUCGCUCCAUAUUGACCGGCAUCCCGUCCAGGGGACAGAUGGAUCGUCUCUGCCUGUCCCUCCAUCAGCGUCACUGAAAGGAGCUCUACGUGAUGAUGCCUCCUCCUCCUCCUCCUCCUCCUCCUCCUCCUC
This is a non-coding RNA of Plectropomus leopardus (leopard coralgrouper), 241 nucleotides long. The record is from RefSeq and is a predicted model, not a curated record. Lineage: Eukaryota; Metazoa; Chordata; Actinopteri; Perciformes; Serranidae.